Non-coding RNA from Doryrhamphus excisus (bluestripe pipefish), 762 nucleotides. NCBI's taxonomy places the organism in Eukaryota, Metazoa, Chordata, Actinopteri, Syngnathiformes, Syngnathidae. The record is from RefSeq and is a predicted model, not a curated record.
ACUUUAAACAUUUACUGUAUUUUUGGAGAAACUCCUGUUCCUUGUCUUAUUGCUACGUUAACUAGCUGUUGGCUGUAACCUCAUAAUGCAACUAACUGGUGAAUAUACAGUGUACAGCUUCAUAUGCUACAUUAAGCUAACUAGCCGUUUCAUUGCUGUCAACCCUCCCGUUUCAAAAAAAAAAAAUACUGUAUCGUGCCCUCUUUUCAGGUGCCCUUCUGUUUUAGUUCCUUUUACUUUAGCUGUGAUAGGCUCCAGCAUACCCCCGUCACAUUACUGAGGCUAAGCGGCAUAGAAGAUGGAUGGAUGGAUGUUAGGAAGAUGAGACUUCCCGAAUCCCACCGCCUGCCACCCUGAGGUCCUGCCCUUAUCUUAUGUCCGUCCUAGCAGGCCCAGAUGGCAAGCCCUUUCUUGUGCAAAGAUUGUCCAGAUAGCUGCUUCCGCCUUACCGCUUUACUCAUCUUCUCACCAUGAGAAAGAGCCAGCAGAGUGAAGCUGCUGCAUUGUGAGUGGGAGUUACAGAUGUACGCUGCCUCUCGUGCACUGUGCACAGACAGCACACAGCCAUGUUGACUGUAGGACGGCCAGCAGCGAUACUCCGCGUUCCCUGACGUCGUCAUGUUUGACAUCACGCUGUAAUCUGAACACAAAAGAAGGUCAUGUCAUGUAAGUACACAAUAUCAUGAAGGAUGUGUAUGCGCUAGUAUGUCACCAUGGCCUUCUUAUUUUUUAACAAAACAUUUUCUUUGAAAACAAACACAU